GGCGGUAGGCUUAACACAUGCAAGUCGUGCGAGAAAGUAUCUUCGGAUAUGAGUAGAGCGGCGGACGGGUGAGUAACGCGUAGGAAUCUACCUAGUAGAAGGGGAUAGCCCGGGGAAACCCGGAUUAAUACCGUMUACCUCCUUCGGGAGAAAGAAGGCCUCUCUUUGAAGCUUUCGCUACUAGAUGAGCCUGCGUAAGAUUAGCUUGUUGGUGAGGUAAAGGCUCACCAAGGCGACGAUCUUUAGCUGGUCUGAGAGGACGAUCAGCCACAUUGGGACUGAGACACGGCCCAGACUCCUACGGGAGGCAGCAGUGGGGAAUAUUGGACAAUGGGCGCAAGCCUGAUCCAGCCAUACCGCGUGUGUGAAGAAGGCCUUCGGGUUGUAAAGCACUUUAAGCAGGGAGAAAAAGUUAUAAGUUAAUACCUUAUAACCUUGAUGUUACCUGCAGAAUAAGCACCGGCUAAUUCCGUGCCAGCAGCCGCGGUAAUACGGAAGGUGCAAGCGUUAAUCGGAAUUACUGGGCCGUAAAGCGCGCGUAGGUGGUUUGUUAAGUUGGAUGUGAAAGCCCUGGGCUCAACCUAGGAACUGCAUCCAAAACUAACUCACUAGAGUACGAUAGAGGGAGGUAGAAUUCAUAGUGUAGCGGUGGAAUGCGUAGAUAUUAUGAAGAAUACCAGUGGCGAAGGCGGCCUCCUGGAUCUG
Molecule: ribosomal RNA, 705 nt
Filed under: uncultured Gammaproteobacteria bacterium
Lineage: Bacteria; Pseudomonadati; Pseudomonadota; Gammaproteobacteria
Description: bacterial SSU rRNA
Rfam family: Bacterial small subunit ribosomal RNA
Source: RNAcentral